This is a small nucleolar RNA of Lycium ferocissimum, 107 nucleotides long. Lineage: Eukaryota; Viridiplantae; Streptophyta; Magnoliopsida; Solanales; Solanaceae. The record is from RefSeq and is a predicted model, not a curated record.
AAACUAUGAUUCAGACUCUUCUGCAAAUAUUCCUUGAAUCUCUCCCAGGCUUCAUAUAGUUUUUCCCCCGAUCGCUACUUAAAGUUAUAGAUCUUGUCCCAAAUUUC